AACGCGAAGAACCUUACCUGGGUUUGACAUGCACAGGACGCAUCCAGAGAUGGGUGUUCCCUUGUGGCCUGUGUGCAGGUGGUGCAUGGCUGUCGUCAGCUCGUGUCGUGAGAUGUUGGGUUAAGUCCCGCAACGAGCGCAACCCUUGUCUCAUGUUGCCAGCACGUUAUGGUGGGGACUCGUGAGAGACUGCCGGGGUCAACUCGGAGGAAGGUGGGGAUGACGUCAAGUCAUCAUGCCCCUUAUGUCCAGGGCUUCACACAUGCUACAAUGGCCGGUACAAAGGGCUGCGAUGCCGUGAGGCUUAGCGAAUCCUUUUAAAGCCGGUCUCAGUUCGGAUCGGGGUCUGCAACUCGACCCCGUGAAGUCGGAGUCGCUAGUAAUCGCAGAUCAGCAACGCUGCGGUGAAUACGUUCCCGGGCCUUGUA
RNAcentral lists this ribosomal RNA (428 nucleotides) under uncultured Actinomycetes bacterium. Its description in RNAcentral is "bacterial SSU rRNA". It matches the Rfam family "Bacterial small subunit ribosomal RNA", at positions 958 to 1385 of the family's 1533-position model. Lineage: Bacteria; Bacillati; Actinomycetota; Actinomycetes. The record is from RNAcentral.